RNAcentral lists this long non-coding RNA (810 nucleotides) under Marmota monax (woodchuck). The record is from RNAcentral. Lineage: Eukaryota; Metazoa; Chordata; Mammalia; Rodentia; Sciuridae.
GUGAAUUAUGGGUGUCCGGGGGACCGGGCACCGGGGCGAGUCGGGCUGCAGGAUGGGGCUCCCCCGCUCCGGGUCCCGCCCCACCAGCGUUGCCACUGCGGGGCUCUAAUGCAACCCCGGGGGCGGUCGAUGCCAAGGGGAGUGCUUUAUUUUUACAUGAUGACCUUGGGUGUGGGAAAAGGAAAAGAUGGCGGGAAGCUGGGGGGUGGGACAGGGAAGAUGACACGCCACAGCUGCAUUUUUAUUUGGAAACUUUAGAGAAAGUAUUCCUGGCUGGACCUGCAUUCUGCGUUACACAUGGACAAGACUAGCCUUUUCGAUAUCUCCUACCCCUUUAGAUACUGAAGGAUUUGAACUACUAGUACAAGGGAUACCUGCUCACUUUCCAGAUUACCAGUGUUUUAAAAGCCAUAAUGCCUUGUCCGGUAGUGACAUUUCAAAUGUUCCCUAUUUAGUUUUUUUUCCCCUUUGAUGUUGUUCAGUAGCGAGAUGACAAUAUUUUGUAAACGUAUAGCCAGCCAGCUUUAAAUCAUUUUCUUCAAGCUUAUGUUAUAUACUCCCUACAAAUGUUUCCUCUCUGUGCUCUUCCCACUUUGUGUUGUAGUUUAUAAAACGUAGUGCUUCAGUAAUGUAGCACUGAGCACCCCACUUACGUUAGCUCCAUUUGGAGAACUUGAUCGCUCUGGAGAAGUAACUCGCAAACCAGCGCGCUUCAUGCUGGUCAAAAGUUAAAUGACAAGCGACAGUGAAGCUGCUUUCCUUCCUACUCUGCCUUCUUGCCAGUGAUGUCAGGUGUUGGGUGAAGGGGGC